CAGCCGCCGCGGUAAUACGUAGGUCCCGAGCGUUGUCCGGAUUUAUUGGGCGUAAAGAGAGCGCAGGCGGUUAGAUAAGUCUGAAGUUAAAGGCUGUGGCUUAACCAUAGUACGCUUUGGAAACUGUUUAACUUGAGUGCAAGAGGGGAGAGUGGAAUUCCAUGUGUAGCGGUGAAAUGCGUAGAUAUAUGGAGGAACACCGGUGGCGAAAGCGGCUCUCUGGCUUGUAACUGACGCUGAGGCUCGAAAGCGUGGGGAGCAAACAGGAUUAGAUACCCCAGUAGUCCCUGUCUCUUAUACA
RNAcentral lists this ribosomal RNA (301 nucleotides) under uncultured bacterium. RNAcentral's name for it is "partial 16S ribosomal RNA". It matches the Rfam family "Bacterial small subunit ribosomal RNA", at positions 509 to 808 of the family's 1533-position model. The record is from RNAcentral.